RNAcentral lists this ribosomal RNA (497 nucleotides) under uncultured bacterium. RNAcentral's name for it is "partial 16S ribosomal RNA". It matches the Rfam family "Bacterial small subunit ribosomal RNA", at positions 28 to 507 of the family's 1533-position model. The record is from RNAcentral.
GAUGAACGCUGGCGGCGUGCCUAAUACAUGCAAGUCGAGCGAACGGACGAGAAGCUUGCUUCUCUGAUGUUAGCGGCGGACGGGUGAGUAACACGUGGAUAACCUACCUAUAAGACUGGGAUAACUUCGGGAAACCGGAGCUAAUACCGGAUAAUAUUUUGAACCGCAUGGUUCAAAAGUGAAAGACGGUCUUGCUGUCACUUAUAGAUGGAUCCGCGCUGCAUUAGCUAGUUGGUAAGGUAACGGCUUACCAAGGCAACGAUGCAUAGCCGACCUGAGAGGGUGAUCGGCCACACUGGAACUGAGACACGGUCCAGACUCCUACGAGAGGCAGCAGUAGGGAAUCUUCCGCAAUGGGCGGGAGCCUGACGGAGCAACGCCGCGUGAGUGAUGAAGGUCUUCGGAUCGUAAAACUCUGUUAUUAGGGAAGAACAUAUGUGUAAGUAACUGUGCACAUCUUGACGGUACCUAAUCAGAAAGCCACGGCUAACUACGUG